Molecule: long non-coding RNA, 4244 nt
Organism: Triticum aestivum (bread wheat)
Lineage: Eukaryota; Viridiplantae; Streptophyta; Magnoliopsida; Poales; Poaceae
Exons: 10
Source: RefSeq, a predicted model, not a curated record
CACUUUCCUUCUAUUUCCGCCGCCACGCCACGCCACGCCACGCGCACCUCGGCGAAGGACAAGGCUCCGGCUGCCGCCACCGCCUCUGCCCCGGCUAUAAAGCCGCGCCCUUUGGCCGGCCCGCUCCUCCUCCUCUCUUCCUCCGCGCCGCGCCUCUCGCCUCCUCGCCGCGCUCUGCCCGGUCCGCUCCUCCUCCUCCUCUCUUUGUCCGGGCGGUGCCUCUCUCCUCCGACCUCCCCGCCGCGCUCCGGCCGGUCCGCUGCUCCUCCACCCUUCGUCCGGGCCGUGCGUAUGUCCUCCUCGAGUCGGGUUUCAUCUUGCUCGUCCUCCUAUGUCGAUCUGUCCGUCUAGAAUCGCGUAUGGAUUUGAUUUUGCUCGUCCUCGGUCGAUUUGCCCGUUUAGAGUCGCGUCCGGAUUUGAUUUUGCUCGCCGUCACCGUCGCCGUCGCCGGUUUAGAUAGCUAGAGAACCCCGCCUGAUUUGAUUUUGCCCGUUCUCCCCGUCGUCCGUUUAGGACCGCGCCCGAUUUGGUUUCAGUUUGCUCGUGCUCAGUUCGUCAGUUUAGAGUCGCUUCCGAGUUGAUUUUGCUCGUCCCUCCCCGCCGUUGUCGGUUUAGAGUCGCUUCUGAUUUGGUUCUGCCCGUUCUCGCCGUCGCCCGUUUCCGUUUUUGCUCGUCCUCGCCGUUGCCCCGACGCGCUCGCAUGUUCUUGGCCCGUCUCGUCGAGGGUCUCCGUCUGGUCUGCGGUUGAGAAAUUUCUGCGUGCGGUUCUGUUAUCUGAGAGACCCUUUGGAUCCUGCGUUUCUUCGUGUUCGUGUCUGCGCGAGAGUUGCAGGAACAGUCGGGUCUUGGUUUUGAAAUUGGGUUGCGGCCGGAGAUGGAGAGGCGGAGAGCAGUUGUCAGCUUGUCGUGCUAGUUCAGAUCGGUUGCUAGGCUCCUGCGUUGUUCGUCGGCAGUUUUCAGAUCUCAAACGGCUAGCUUGUUCGUGCUCGUCCAUCGAGACGUGCCCUUUGAUGCUCUGGUUCCUCUGUCGAUUCUGAUUGUACCAGCUAGCUUGUUUCAGUUUCGUCAGGCGUGUGUGCUCUCGUCCUGGAUGCAGGGGUGAUUCGUUACGGUUGUUCUGAUGCGUGUUACUGCUUCUGUUCUUUUCAAUUGAUUACUUCCUGUCAUGCUUUGCUUAUCCAUAUAUGGUGAUGUGUGUUCAGGGGUGCAAACCAUGUAGGCCGUGGGUGCAAAUCAUGUGGCUUGCUGCUUGACUAAUUGAACACCUGCUGCUGCUACUGUUGGACAAGGUUUCCUGCUUUUUUUGCCUCGUGUUGCUAGUCCGUUAGAUGAGGUGCUGCUAGUCCCUUAGACUUCGUUCUAGAUUGCAUAGCAUUACUCCAGAAUUUUGUCAUUGCCCACCUGGGCAUAUAAUUCUGCUGUCAGCAUAACUCUAGAAUUUAUUUAUCUGUGAAAGCACGUUCAUCACAUGUUCUUUAUCAAUGCUGCUCACUUUUGUCACGUCCCUUUUGUUUGUCCUGUUAAAUUUUAUGGCAUCAACUUGGAGCAAAUUUUGAACUCACUGGUUAGAAUGCUGACUUCUGUAUUUGUCGCUAUGUAAGCCAUGCACUUGGAAGCCUGGGAGUGAUUAGGAUUUGGAUUGCAUAGAGAUUUUAUGCUAUGUUUGUUUAUAACCUGGUUGUGACCUAAUAUAGUGCAAAUCUGCUAAUUUUUUAAUUUAAUUUAUGUUCAACACAAGUAGGUUUUGUUUGCAAGUGGUAUUUCUUUUGUGUGUGUAUGAACAUUCAUGCUGUCAAUUUUUCUUAUCAUAAUCAUUUACCGUGGUGUUCGACAAUACAUUUCUACUGUUCUUUGUUCCCUUUUGAGGUUCACUGACUCAAUUAUGCAUGAGAUUUGAUAUCAAUUACUGCUGUCCAGUCACUGAAAUAAUGCUUUUCUUGCUUUGUCUAGACUUUGUGACAAGAAUAAGCAUGCGUCUCUGUGCCUACAAACUUGUGGGUAGUGCCGUAGUGAUGAUGAUCCAACUAGCUUCCUGUUUUCAGGAAUGAAGAUCUGAAUUACCCUCACCCCUCUACAGAAAUCAGUUUACUCAUUCAGUUUCUGGAACUUCUUUAUAGCUUUCUGAGUUUAAGUCUUGCAUGUAUUGGCUUUCUGUUUGUACCCUUAUCUAUGUCUGUUUCUUUGUGUGUUUCUUGUGUGCAAGCGAUCCAUUGUGUGUGUCUGACUGUGUGUGUGAUGUGCCCUAUCUAUGUAUGUUUCUUUGUCUGUUUCAUGUGUGAAAGUGCUCCAUUAUCUGUGUUUGACUGCUUGGAUGGGGUGAUUCUGAUUGUGUUACUGCUUAUAUGGUCUGUCCAAUUGGUUUCUUAUUCAAGCUUUGCUUGUGUUCCGAUGUCGUCUCCCCAUAUAUGGCGAUGUGUUCAGGGAUGCAAACCAUGUAGGCCGUUUCGAGCAGGCAGGGAUCCAGAGACGUGCACUGGUCAGGCUUCUCUCCUGCUGAUAGAUGAUGAUAGGCUGAGCAGAAAAGUUUGACUCUCGUAACACUCACUUGCUUGGCUUCCACUCCUUUGUGUGGCCGAUUUGGCAUCCAAUGCAUCUCAUGCCUAUCUUAUACUCCCUCCGUUCCAAAAUAGAUGACCCAACUUUAUACUAACUUUACACUAAAGUUAUAAAGUUAGUAGAAAGUUGAGUCAUCUAUUUUGAAACGGAGGGAGUAUAUCUCACUCACUCAUCACAGCAUCCUUUUCCCUGUUUUUGUUCCUUUCUUUCUUAUCAUAAUAAUCAUGUAUACCGUGGUGUUUCACAAUACAUUUUUUGUGAUAUCUGUGUUUCAUUAUGUCUUAUGUGGAUAUCAUAUUUUUUUUUGUAUAUUACUGCUGUCCAUUCACUGGAAUAAUGCUUUCCUAAGUAUUUCAGGUAGGAUAUAGACAAAUGUCACAUUUGCUCUUCCUUGUGUUGCUAAGGACACUGAUGGGUGGGGUUUGCUUACAGCGCAGGACCGAUAAUUCUGAUAGUAUGCCAAGGACUGCUCAGGGUUCCUACCACUUUCUGUUUUACCAACUAAGGUAAUCGAAUUUUGACCUUCAACUUGCAAAUUUAUCACCUUAUGGGAGGGAAAGGUUUGCAUGUACAUGAGCUCUGAUUAUCUACAUAUAUACUUGAAUUGCUUUGGAUUUGUUGGACUACUAUUCUACAUGAUGUUCUCCAUGAUUCACUUGAUCUGUUAAUUUGAGUAUUUUCCCGGUGAGUUCUUUAGGUUCAUCUUGUGACACAAAAUACAAUUUUGGUACGUGCAGACUCUGAAAUUUGGUGAUAAAGAAAAGGGUGGAUGGAGGGUUUCAUGAUGGCUAAUUUGAUUUGUUAUGGUUCUGAUGGUGUGCUUCUUGUGUUUGAACUGAAGCCGUGGAUCACUCAUCAACCUGGUCUGUGUUUGUAUGAUGAAUUAUUUCCGGAUAGGACAGAGGUGCAAUGUUUACAUCCAUGGUAGAAGGUUCUUUAACACUGAACUCAUCAAAGGUCCUUGGACUCAAGAGGAAGAUGACAAAAUUAUUGACCUUGUAAACAAGUAUGGACUAACAAAAUGGUUGCAUUGCAAGGUCAGCUACCAGAACUUCCUGCUGCUGAUCCUGGGAUGUUUCCGAACAUGCUCCCGAACAUGCUCAAUCUAUCCGCCCUAGGACAGCCACUGCCAUGACACAGCAGGUUACUCGGCAUGCUCGGUGUGUUUACUUCGGUGGACUUCCUCCGAUCGCUAAUGAACAGACGGUUGCUCUAUUCUUCAAUCAAGUUAUGGCUGCUAUCGGGGAAACACGUUUGGUCUAGGUGGCAUAAUCAUCUGAAUCCAAACAUAUGGAACGAUGCUUGGACUACUGAGGAGGAACAUGCACUGAUUAAUGCCAUCAGGUAUAUGUGAAUAAAUGAGCAGAAAUAGCAAAACUUACUCCUGGAAGGUACUGCAUGCCAAACAACUUACAUCAUGGGUCUUGCUUGUAGUAUUAGCUUUCUGUUGCCCUUUCUAUCUCUUAUGUGUGUGACUGACUCUGUGUGACUGUUACUGUGUGUGUGACUGAAUCUGUGUGUGACUGUGACUUUGUGUGUGACCGACUGUGUGUGUGUUUGAAUUAAUAUUGCAUUCGCUUGAUGGUGUGUGCUGUAUGCUUUGCUUGAUGGUGUGUCCUGUAUGCUUUGCUUGAUGGUGUGUCCUGAAUGCUUUGCUUGAAUGAUUGGUGUUGUAUGUUUUGUUUGUU